GCUGGGCAUGGUGGUGCAUGCCUGUAGUCCCAGAUACUUGGGAGGCCGAGGCAGGAGAAUUGCUUGAACCCAGGAGGCGGGGGUUGCAGUGAGCUGAGAUCACGCCACUGCACUCCUGCCUGGGCAAAAGAGUAAGACCCUGUCAA
Molecule: non-coding RNA, 146 nt
Filed under: Pan troglodytes (chimpanzee)
Lineage: Eukaryota; Metazoa; Chordata; Mammalia; Primates; Hominidae
Source: Rfam by way of RNAcentral